GCUACCACGCGAGUGGAUGCCAAUCCCUAAAACCCCUCUCAGUUCGGACUGGAGUCUGCAACCCGACUCCACGAAGCUGGAUUCGCUAGUAAUCGCGCAUCAGCCACGGCGCGGUGAAUACGUUCCCGGGCCUUGUACACACCGCCCGUCAAGCCAUGGGAGCCGGGGGUACCUGAAGUGCGUAACCGCGAGGAUCGCCCUAGGGUAAAACUGGUGACUGGGGCUAAGUCGUAACAAGGUAUC
RNAcentral lists this ribosomal RNA (243 nucleotides) under uncultured bacterium. RNAcentral describes it as "partial 16S ribosomal RNA". It matches the Rfam family "Bacterial small subunit ribosomal RNA", at positions 1249 to 1500 of the family's 1533-position model. The record is from RNAcentral.